GUGGGGAAUCUUAGACAAUGGGGGAAACCCUGAUCUAGCCAUGCCGCGUGAGCGAUGAAGGCCUUAGGGUUGUAAAGCUCUUUCAGCUGGGAAGAUAAUGACGGUACCAGCAGAAGAAGCCCCGGCUAACUCCGUGCCAGCAGCCGCGGUAAUACGGAGGGGGCUAGCGUUGUUCGGAAUUACUGGGCGUAAAGCGCGCGUAGGCGGACCAGAAAGUUGGAGGUGAAAUCCCAGGGCUCAACCUUGGAACUGCCUUCAAAACUCCUGGUCUGGAGUUCGAGAGAGGUGAGUGGAAUUCCGAGUGUAGAGGUGAAAGUCGUAGAUAUUCGGAGGAACACCAGUGGCGAAGGCGGCUCACUGGCUCGAUACUGACGCUGAGGUGCGAAAGCGUGGGGAGCAAACAGGAUUAGAUACCCCUGUAGUCC
RNAcentral lists this ribosomal RNA (425 nucleotides) under uncultured bacterium. Its description in RNAcentral is "partial 16S ribosomal RNA". It matches the Rfam family "Bacterial small subunit ribosomal RNA", at positions 354 to 796 of the family's 1533-position model. The record is from RNAcentral.